UGAUGAUUCUUAUAGACAACACUCUUGUUUUCAUGGAGUUUAGAGAUAAUAAUCAGACAGUAAGCAAACGUAAAUAAAUAAAAAGCACAUUGUGAUAGGUUCUAUACAAGGAAUUAAAGCAAAGUGAUAUAAUGAGAUUGAUGUGUAUGGAGAGGGUUACAUUUUAUUGGGUGUUCAUGAGAGACUUCGUUGGGGUAUGAUAUUUAAGCCCAGCUAUAAGCUGACAAGAAAAACUGCAUGUGAAGUCAGGGAAGAAAAAGUUCAGAAGAUAAAAUAGCUAUGACAAAGGCCUUUGGGCAGAAAUGGAAAGAGUGCCUCAGCUGGAACAGCAUGGCUAAGGAAGCAUUCGAACAUGGAAUAAAUAAGGAGAGGAAGUCCUACAACCUCAAGGAGUUGAAUUCUGUCAUCAACCAGUUGGGUUGGAAGAGAACCCAGAGCUGAUACGAGAGUGCAAUCUGGGCACACACCUUGAUUUCAGCCUGGUAAGGCUCUAAGCAAAGGACCCAGCUAAAGUUUAUCCAGACUCAUGACCAAAUGAAAACCUUGCAGUUUAAACAGAUGCGUGUUUUACAUUGCUAAGGUGGUGAUUUGUUAUAUAGCAAUAGAAAAUUAAUGCAUCCAGUUUCAAGUUUCGUUUAUAAAUCUUUCCUUGUUUACAUUCUUUCUUAAAGGCUAACAACUGUAAUUAUAAUAUCUCUGUUAAAUUAAAAUAAUCUUUGGGAACAUCAAACAUGUAAUAGGUAAUAUCUUUAGGGGUCACUGAUGUGUGUUCAACUUUCCAGUUGUGCUACAAUAAUUGGACCUAUAUGAAAGGACUUUUCAUUUUUUUUAAAUUAAUUUUCAUAGUUUUGUUUUCCCUAUUAUUUAUUAUUAUUGUUGCUAUUGGUGUGCACGCCUGAUUCUUGUAGCCAAUUAUAUAUCGGUAUGCUCUAAUCUGUUAUGAGUCGGGAGACUAGAGGACCAGGCUUUUUGUAUUGGGUCUACAAUGAGAAUACCUAGGCUAUAAACUACGUUAUGACAGUGUAUGAUGAAAUUAAGCUAUCCUUUUUGUUUUCUCAGUACUUCUCAGUAUUUAAAGUCAUCAGAAAAAAAUGACAUUUGUUUAAAUAAAAAGACACAAUUGUAAGAAUACCAGUUGGUUGUUGAUAUUUUAGGUUAUUUCUUUAAAAAUUAUGAUUGCCUGUUCUCUACAUUAAAAGAACAUUGCUGGGCAGAAUAACUGGAUUCAAGGUAAUGUCUUUGUCUUCACAUAGUCUUUACUCUCAAGUGACUCCAGUGAGUCAGCAAAACAUGUGUGGGCUUCAGAAAGAACGAUUCCACCAUAAUUUGCAAAUUAGAACAGUGGGAUAUGCUAUGUACUACUUUCCAAGUCUGCACUUCACAUAUCAUUUUAAUGACCCAUCAAUAGAAAAUACGUGUCAUGAUUUAUCUUUCCAGUCAUGGCAAUUUAGGUAAAAGGUUGGAAAAAUACCUAUACGAAUAGUGGUAUUAGAAAGGAACAGGGACAAAGAUAAGCUAGGGUUACCUUUUGAAAAAAAAUGGGGAGAAUCUUGACAAAAGAUUACUGGGAAGCAUCAAAUUUCAAGUAUUUAAAUCUUUAAAAUGCAUCCUCAUAGUUUCAUAUUGUCUUUUUUUUUCCUUUCUAUGUACUCUCUGGACCAAACAGGGUAUGUCUGUCUGAAUAACUCCAUGACUUACUCAGGUAAUCGUAUCAGAAAACUUUCUGGCAAAGUUUAGAUUUAGGGGAUCUAUGGAGAUUUCUGUAUCCAUAACCACUUUCUGCAAUGCACACAUCUUAAUGCACAUAUCUAAUGCAGUCAGUCACAUUAUCAUUUUAGCUUUCUUUGUGAAUGAGAAAAAUUUCAUUUCCCCUCCUGUUUGCAGAUACAUAAAGUGAUAAAUGUGAUGGAAUGCUUUGUUAGCACCCUGCCACAUGGAAUAGUCCUCCUGGUUUGACUCUAUUUUCUCCUCUUCCUCUUAUUUAAAACUUAAGUGAUCUUCUUUGGUAUAGUACUGGGUAGAAUAUCAAUUUAAAAAUAAAAUAAAUAUAAUAUUUUAAAUGACGUUAAUGCUGUUCUGCUGAUAUUACUUCCAAAAUAAAAAAGUAGUCGGGACUAAUCCUGCCAAGUUUCACUGUAAAAUUAAGUAUUACUGUCUUAAUUAUCUGUGCUAGUAUGGAAAAUAAAUGGACUGCACACAUGAUUAUGGUGAUUAAGGAUGUUGUAUCAUUCUCAUUCACUUUUAGCCUAUUUUUUUCUUUUACUUUUUGAUAACUAAGAACCGAAUACUUGUUUUUUUGUUGCUUUAAAUCUGAGAUUCUUAAAUAAUGCAGGCAAAAAUAAUCACUACUACCAAUACCAAUCCACCUCCAGAAAAUGGGUAUUUCUGCCGUAUGAACAACUAGAGAAGGUACACCUGCAAGCUUCCAUCAUAAACAACCAGGGAAUGUAAAAGAGCAGCCUUUUUGUAGCAAAGCCAUACUGUAACUGAAAUAGCAAUCGCCUUCCAGAGAACAAAGGCACUGCCAUGAAAAGUCCAAGUAUUUGCUCUUUGGCAACAUUCCCCCAAUUCUGCAGACAUGUUUAGAAAGAAUGCCUACACCUCCUAUUCAGAAAUUAAAAGGCAGCUCUUCUAAGCUUUGAAAGGUAAUAUUUGGGUUGUAUCAGAGUCUGGCAUUUUAUUUCUUUGUUCUGCUUGGGAUUUCAUAUUGACAUACAAAUCAUUUAGUUUCUUUAAGUAUUUUAAAGUAAUGUCUUUAAAAUACUCUUUAAGUAAUUCUUUUAAGUGCUUUAAGUAUUAAAUGUAUAAGAUAGCUUUAGAUGUGGGGAUUAAAAGUGACAUGAGAGGAAAUUGUUAUCAUUUGAGAGGUUUUAUUUAAACAUCAUGAACUCACAUAGUAUUCACUAAGACUUUUAUUUUUAAGGUUCUCAAACCUAUGCAUUUAAAGAAUAAUUUUUAGCAAUUUUCAUAAUAUAAUAAAAAUUGAUGUUAUGUUUCCUUACACAUGAGAUUACUUCUUACAGGAACUCAAACGAGAAAGCAAAUGACAACAAAAAUACUUUCUUUCAGUAAUCAUGGAAGCACAGGGUUUUGGUAAGUUAUCACACAUAAUUUAAAGAAAAUCUGAGUGCAAAACAACCUUAUUUUAAACUAUAAUGUGGUCACUUUCUCCUCAGUUCUUGACUAUGGCUUCCCCCAUAGAUUUUGAUUUUCUUUCACUCAUCAUGUCCUAUUUAUUUGCAAGGUUAAAUUUUAUAAUAGUCUAAAUUUUAUUAACAUUUAAAAAUAUGAUUACCUCUCAGGAUUAUCAUUAUUACAAUAUCAUUCUUAAAUUACACCACACAGAUUAGAAAAAGAAUAAUCUGGCACACAGAGUCAGAUUGAGGUUCAGAUUUUGACCUUAACACUUAUAUAAUUUGUGGCCUCAGUUUUUGUGAUGGUUAAUAUUGAGUGUCAACUUGACUGGAUUGAAGGAUGCAGAAUAGUGCUCCUAGGUGUGUCUGCAAAGAUGUUGCCAAAGGAGAUUAACAUUUGAGUCAGUGGAAUGGGAGAAGCAGACCCACCUGCAAUCUGGGUAGGCACCAUCUAAUCAGCUGCCAAUGCAGCUAGAAUAAAGCAGGCAGAAGAAGGUAGAAAGGGCAGACUUGCUGAGUCUUCCAGCUUUCAUCCUUCUCCCAUGCUGGUUGUUUCCUGCCCUCAAACAUCAGACUCCUAGCUCUUCAGCUUCUGGACCCUUGGACAUAUACCAGUGGUUUGCCAGGGGGGUCUUGGGCCUUCAGCCACAGACUGAAAGCUGCACUGUUGGCUUCCCUACUUUUGAGAUUUUGGGGCUCAGACUGGCUUCCUUGCUCCUCAGCUUGCAGAUAGCCUAUUGUGGGACUUCACCUUGUGAUCCUGUGAGUCAAUACUCCUUAAUAAACUUCCCUUCAUAUACACAUCUAUCCUACUAGUUCUGUCCCCCUAGAGAACCAUGACUAAUACAGUCUGCUUAUAUGUAAAAUAGAAGUAAUGACUAACCAAAUUUUACUGAAUGUCUAAAAGUUACUUAAAAUGUGAAACCAGCCCAGUUGUCCAAUAGAAAUGAUGUUUAUAGAUUUUAGAAUAAACACAGAAAUGGACCCUUUUGGUCUUGAAACUCGAAACUUGUAUUUGUCUCAUCUGACUUCCUUCCUCAGGAAGCUGACUCACAGGCAAGGGACUAAAACCACAUCCAGAGAGUGAGAUGUCAGACUCCUCAUUCAUUAUUACUACUCCCGUACCCCUCCCUAAUUUCUUUCAACACUGUAGUGACAUUUCUUCUCCUGCUAUAUAAAUACCCCAAUUUUAGUUGCUCAGAGAGGUGAAUGUGAGAUUAUUCUUCUGUUCUCCCAUUUGACAUCACCCGAAUAAAAAAGCUUUCUUUCCUGACAAUACUUGUUGUCUCAGUGAUUGGCUUCCUGUGCCAGUAGCAACGGGACCUGGACCAAAUGUGGGGUUUCCAUAACAACUAUAGCUUUUCUCCAACAGUAUACAGGCCAGGUGUGGUGGCUCAUGCCUAAAGCCCAGCACAUUGAGAGGCCAAAACAGGAGGAUCUCUUGAGCCCAAGAGUUCAAGGCUGCAGUGAGCCAUGAUUAUGUCACUGCAGUCUAGCCUGGGAAAGAGUGAGGCCGUGUCUCAAUCAAUCGAUCAAAAUAAAAUGGUACAUAUCAUUUCCCUCUUCAAAUCUAUUACUUCUCCAAAAUUUCUCUUUUAGUAAGGUACAAAACAGUCUACAUAGUUUUCCAAAUAAUAAAUCAGAAGUCAUAAUUAAUUCCUGGACCAAAUUACCCCUGGACUGGGCCAAUCUAAACAUCCAGUCACCCAGGUCUGAUAAUGUUCCACCUGGACACAUCCUAAAAAUCCCCUCCUCUUCCCUUCCUCCUCUGCCACCUCAUAGUAUGGGCCACAACUCUAUUUCAUGCAAACUGCUCUUUACCCCCUUUACUGAUCUGGCUGCCUCUAGCCUUGCUCCUCUCAUAUCCAUUCUCCACUCUGCUGCCAUAGUAAUUCUAAAAAUGCCUCCAUGAUUGUGUGACUUUCCAGUUUAACACCCUUCAAAUAUUUCCCUUUGUUCUUGGAAUAGAAACAGACUCCUUAAAGUGGUUCACAGGGCAGCCUAUGAUCUGGCCCUUCCUCCCCUUCCAGCUUAUGUCUUGCAUUCUUUGUCUCUGUUAGCUCCGUGGACUCCCCAAGCUAUCUCUCCGAUCUGUUCCUUUACCUGGAAGACUCUGGUAUCUUCUUUAUCUGGCUAAAUCUUACGCAUAUUCAGGUUUCUAUUAUCAAUUCUUCCACAGGGUUUUUAUGAUGCCAACUUAGGCCUACAUCACCCUGCAUUCUCAAGAAACACUUAUUAAAUUACUUGUUACUUAUAAAAAUUACUUAUAAAAUUGUUUAUUAAAAGUCACUCUUCCCCAUUAGUAUAUGGGGAUAAAUAUGAUGGCAGCUGAGAGAGAACAGAAGAGGGGAGAAAAUCAGGAUUUUGAGGCCGUGGCGUCUACAGAAAAAGCUGUGCAGUAACCUCCUUCCCCUCCUCCUCUUGCCCCACAGGGAAGAGUAUUGCACCUGUCCUCAUCUCAAAUCCAGUGAGGGAGGUUUCCACUGUGCUAUGUGGAGUAUAUGUGCUAUGUAGGGAGUUUAUUAUAUGACCUAUGUAAUAGGAGAGAAGUGGAAAAAUAUAGCAUAACUCCCACCUAAGAAAUUUGGAGAGUAAGAACAGGUUAAUCAUUUUUGUGGUGGAAACAGCCUGCCUUCUCUCUGUGUCUGAGUAAAGCAUGCAUGAAGGUUUUUGCUGGAACAGAUGUAGGCCACAUAGGAUAAAAAGAAGAGGUCUGGGACCAUUUUAAGUUCUGUUUCAGAAAACAACCUGGAAAGGAGAAGAAUGCUUAAGAACCAAGAUUGAGUGGAAAAAGCUACCAGCAAAACCAGGGCUGGAAGGACUGGACAACCUGGGGAGUAGAAAAGAGUUUCUACUGGAAGAAAACUAGUGAUGGGAAUAUUUGAAAAACUCAGGAUAAAAUGUGGUUUCUUCUAGCAGGUCCCAGGCCAUCUUCACCAAAGAAACUCUUGUGCUUCCAUUUUCUCUUCUUCCCUCUCCAGUGCCAAUCCUAGAGUGCCAAAAGCUAUAGGAAGUAAGCUGCGUGGGGAGAGCAGAAAAGGGACAAAAGCCAUCAGAUGCUUUUUCUGGAAGAUGCUGGCUGCCAAACAGUGGCCUCAACUGUCAGAGAAGGAGAGGAAGUAUUACCUUAGAAUAAGGAUGAAAGUAUUGAUUAAUAUUUUGGAGUCCAAGAUGGCCGAAUAGGAACAGCUUGAGUCUACAGCUCCCAGCGUGAGCAAUGCAGAAGAUGGGUGAUUUCUGCAUUUCCAAAUGAGGUAUCAGGUUCAUCUCACUGGGGCUUGUAGGACAGUGGGGGCAGGACAGUGGGUGCAGCCCACUGAGCGAGAGCCAAAGUAGGGUGAGGUAUCUCCUCACCCGGGAAGCAUAAAGGGUCAGGGAAUUCCCUUUCCUAGCCAAGGGAAGCAGUGACGGAUGGCACCUGGAAAAUCGGGUCACUCCCACCCUAAUACUGUGCUUUUCCAAUGGUCUUAGCAAAUGGCACACCAGGUUAUACUCCGCACCUGGCUCGGAGGGUCCCACGCCCACAGAGCCUCACUCAUUGCUAGCACAGCAGUCUGAGAUCGAUCUGCAAGGCAGCAGUGAGUCUGGGGAAGGGGUGCCCGCCAUUGCUGAGGCUUGAGUAGGUAAACAAAGCGGCCAGGAAGCUCGAACUGGGUGGAGCCCAUGACAGCUGAAUGAGGCCUCCGUGCUUCUGUAGACUCCACCUCUGGGGGCAGGGCAUAGCCAAAAGGCAGACUUAAAUGUCCCUGUCUGACAGCUUUGAAGAGAGUAGUGGUUCUCCCAACACAGAGUCUGAGAUCUGAGAAUGGAUAGACAGCCCCCUCAAGUGGGUACCUGACCCCCGAGUAGCCUAACUGGGAGGCACCCUCCAGUAGGGGCAGACUGACACCUCACACAGCCGGGUACCCCGCUGAGAUGAAGCUUCCAGGGGAACAAUCAGGCAGCAACGUUUGCUGUUCAGCAAUAUUUGCUGUUCUGCAGCCACCACUGCUGAUACCCAGGCGAACAGGAUUUGGAGUGGACCUCCAGCAAACUCCAAAAGACCUGCA
Molecule: long non-coding RNA, 7183 nt
Filed under: Homo sapiens (human)
Lineage: Eukaryota; Metazoa; Chordata; Mammalia; Primates; Hominidae
Description: HSALNT0046646
Source: RNAcentral